CGCGCAGGCGGUUUCUUAAGUCUGAUGUGAAAGCCCACGGCUCAACCGUGGAGGGUCAUUGGAAACUGGGAGACUUGAGUGCAGAAGAGGAUAGUGGAAUUCCAAGUGUAGCGGUGAAAUGCGUAGAGAUUUGGAGGAACACCAGUGGCGAAGGCGACUGUCUGGUCUGUAACUGACACUGAGGCGCGAAAGCGUGGGGAGCAAACA
Molecule: ribosomal RNA, 207 nt
Filed under: uncultured bacterium
Lineage: Bacteria
Description: partial 16S ribosomal RNA
Rfam family: Bacterial small subunit ribosomal RNA
Source: RNAcentral